Molecule: ribosomal RNA, 468 nt
Filed under: uncultured bacterium
Lineage: Bacteria
Description: partial 16S ribosomal RNA
Rfam family: Bacterial small subunit ribosomal RNA
Source: RNAcentral
GACGAACGCUGGCGGCGUGCUUAACACAUGCAAGUCGAACGGAAAGGCCCUGCUUUUGUGGGGUGCUCGAGUGGCGAACGGGUGAGUAACACGUGAGUAACCUGCCCUUGACUUUGGGAUAACUUCAGGAAACUGGGGCUAAUACUGGAUAGGAGCUCCUGCUGCAUGGUGGGGGUUGGAAAGUUUCGGCGGUUGGGGAUGGACUCGCGGCUUAUCAGCUUGUUGGUGGGGUAGUGGCUUACCAAGGCUUUGACGGGUAGCCGGCCUGAGAGGGUGACCGGCCACAUUGGGUCUGAGAUACGGCCCAGACUCCUACGGGAGGCAGCAGUGGGGAAUAUUGCACAAUGGGCGGAAGCCUGAUGCAGCAACGCCGCGUGCGGGAUGACGGCCUUCGGGUUGUAAACCGCUUUCGCCUGUGACGAAGCGUGAGUGACGGUAAUGGGUAAAGAAGCACCGGCUAACUACGUG